This is a long non-coding RNA of Globicephala melas (long-finned pilot whale), 4117 nucleotides long. RefSeq lists it as uncharacterized. The record is from RefSeq and is a predicted model, not a curated record. NCBI's taxonomy places the organism in Eukaryota, Metazoa, Chordata, Mammalia, Artiodactyla, Delphinidae.
GGAGGGGUGGGUGCGUCUGGGGCUUGGGGAGGACAGGCCUUGCGCCCGCCCCGCACUCCCCCCGCCCAGCCUCGAUGUGGGGGAGCGAGGGAAGACCCUCUCCCGCGCAGCUCCACCCCCGCAGCCCCCGGCCCGCCCGGUUCCCGGGUGCGGCGGGACUCACGGCCUUCAACUGCUCCAGCCGGUCCUUCAUCCUGGUGCCCAGGCGCCCGGAGGCAGCCUUUCCAUUCAACAGCCAUUCACUACCUGUGCCGGGCUCUGUGCUAGGAUCCAGCCCUCAACAGACUGAUUCAUUGCUAGGCGGCGCCAACAUCCCGUACACGAGGAACUCUAAGACAACGUGAUUCGUGCCGUAACAGGUGGGAGAGAGAGAGCAAUUAAUUCUGCCUGGAGGAAGGGCAUUCCGAGUAAAGGAAUGCUCACGGUCCGGGGGACUGCGUGCUGGAGCUGAAAGAGUGUGUUCCUCGUGGAAAUAACUGGAGGUGAGGCGGGGUGGGGAAGGCUGGGACGAAGAAUUUGGAUUUUAUGAUGUUGGCAAUGGGGAUCCUUAAGAGAAAUGCAAGCAGUUCAAUGAUGAAAUCAGAACACCUGCCACUAACAAAGUGUAUACCUUUGGCAAGUUAUUGUUUCUCUAGGGGACUCCGUUUCUGUAUCUAUAAAUCAGAGAUAUUACCCACUUCCCAGUUUGCUGUGGGGCCUUGUUGACAGAGGAGGAAUGACUGAUUCGUCACCUGUGGAGCAGAGCUGUAAGAGGAGGAUGUGUGUAUUGGAAAGCUUAAGCUUUCCUACCUGAUCCCCUAGGUGAGUAGUACCUGAUCCCACUUUCUGAAAAGUGGGCGGUUUCUUCGCACUGCCCCUCCGUCUUUCUCCCCUCCCCGGCCCCACACCUCCACCCUCUCUUCCCUCUUCCCCAUUUAUCUUCCUUCUUGGGAACAGAUGACAUAUCCAGCAGAUAUGGAGUGGAGCUCAAUAAAUAGGACUGACUGGCCUAAGAUUCAAUCCUCAAAUCAGGGAAAGAAUCUGAGCUAUGCAUCCAGAUUAAAGGGCUGUAGGACUUCCCUGGUGGUGCAGUGGUUAAGAAUCCGCCUGCCAGUGCAGGGGACACGUGUUCGAGCCCUGGUCCGGGAAGACCCCAUAUGCCACGGAGCAGCUAAGCCCGUGCGCCACAACUACUGAGCCUGCGCUCUAGAGCCCUCGCGCUACAACUACUUAAGACACAACGAGGGAAGCAGCCACCGCAAUGAGAAGCCCGUGCACCACAACGAAGAGUAGCCCCCACCCACCGCAACUCGAGAAAGCCCGCGCGCAGCAACGAAGACCCAACGCAGCCAAAAUUAAAUAAAUAAAUAUUUUUUAAAAGGGCUGUAAAUAUUUUCGUAAUUCUAACAGAACUUUGCCCUGUUCUGCAAUCUUAGCGCUUGCUCCGUGCUGACUUCAUCCUCUCCCAUGAAGAUACGGUCUGUAAUCCUCGCUCUAGUCCUGCACACUUCCUUCUACCCCAGGCGCUCUCUAGGUGAAUUAAUUUCCAGUCUUUGGUAAAGGGAAGGCUUCUGCGUCCCCUGGUGGUCAGAAAUGGAAACGGUAAGCUAAUCAGAGAUCGCAUUCCACCUCCCUUCCGUAACAAAUUUUUGUUAAUGGGGAUAGCUAAGUUUCCGCGCUUCAGGAAAAGAGAGUCUUCUGAGGAGACAGAUAUGUGAACAGCUCUUUACAUUAGACGUCUGAAAAGGACCACAGGAAAUGAUCAAGGAUGGCCAUUCAGCCUCUGCCUGAAUGCAUUUUAAUUUUUUCAGUUUUUUCACUCAAGCAUCUUCUCUGGUUGAACAGUUCCAACUGUUGUUUAAAAGUGUUUUGUUAUAUGAAACAAAAAUUUUCCUUCCUAUAACUUCCACCACUGUUUCUUGCUCUUCGCCUUUGUCCAAACAUUUAAGAAAUUUAAUCUGUCCUUCACAAGACAGGCUUUCCAUGAAGGGACAGUAGCUGUGGAGCCACAGAACGAUUGCUGACACACAGCCAGGAGGACUGAGUUCUAGACACAGUUUCUGCCACAAAACAGCUAUCACUUGACAUCGCACAAUCUAUUCUCUCAUCUGUGAGGCAGAAGUCUGGAUUGCAGCAGCUAGCUGUGUAAAAUAAACUGAAGAAAGUCAAGUUACUGAGGGACAAGGGACCUGGGUGAGGAGAGGCCAUGGGCUGGUGAGGAAGACUGACACUGAGCCCAAGUGGACUGUGAGGUCUCCACGUAUGGACAGUGACGAAUCCAGGUGCAGUUUCGCUGGGUGCCUCUGCCUUACUGCAAUUAAGGUGUUGGCUGGAGGCUGCGUCUCAUCUCAUGGCUUGACUGGGAAAGGAUCUGCUUCCAAAGUCACUCACGUGGUUGCCAGCAGGAUUCAGUUCUUCAAGGGCUGUACUUCACCCCGUGGGCCUCUUCAUAGGGUAGCUCACAACAUGGCAGCUGAAUUCCAUCAGCCCAAGCAGGUGAGAGGGAUAGAGAAAGAGAGAGAAAAGCCAAAGUGUUUUUGUAACCUAGUCUCGGCUGUAACAUCACUUUUGCCAUACUGUAUCGAUUAAAAGAGAAGCCCUAGGUUCAGCCCACACUCAAGGCCAGGAGAUUACACAAGGUGGGGAAGGCCGAGAGCCAUCUCAGCCGCUGCCUAGAACACAAUUCAAAUCCCAAAUUCAUGCCACAGUUAUGCUCUUUCACCUUAGAGCUCUCUUCUCCCCUGUAUCUGAACUGGACAACUCUGACCCAUUCCAGGAUUAAGUGUCCCUCAAACAUGCUUCCCUGACAGCCUGGACUUCAAAAUAGCCCUACCACACUGUGUAACCUGGUCUAGUUCCUGUACCUUCUAUGAGCUCCGCGAGGCCAGCAGCCUUGUCUCUCCUUUUCACUAAUGCGAACCCAGACCCCAGCCUCGGCCCCGAAACGUCCUUGUAGGCGCUCAGUUAGGGUUUUUACCAAAUUAAUUAAGUGAAGCUUCUUGUCCUAUGGCUCCAUUAUGUCUGUCUUCUGAUUAAAAUUCAUCAGUGGCUCCUUAUUACAAGAUUAGGGAGUCCAGACUCUUCUUAGAAUGGCAUUCAAGCCCUUGUGCAGUCUGGCCCCAGCCCAAGGUACUGUCACUCCCUGACACACACAGCCCCACCUUCAGCUUCCUCAAACACCCACCUCUUCUCUGCAUCGAAUACGCCCAGGAUUUCCCCCCCAUCUCUGCCUGAUUUGUCCUUUUUCCAUUUCAUGUCUGACAAAUCCCUACUCCUCCUCCAAGACCGAGGCCUUCUCCAGUUCACGUCUCCCUGGCCCUCUGCCCUCCCGCCCCAAACAGUACUUGUUCAGAUCUAUUUUAAAAGCAGGGCUUCCCUGGUGGCGUAGUGGUUGAGAGUCCACCUGCCGAUGCAGGGGACACGGGUUCGUGCCCGGGUCCGGGAAGAUCCCACAUGCCACGGAGUGGCUGGGCCCAUGAGCCAUGGCCGCUGAGCUCUGCGCGUCCAGAGUCUGUGCUCCGCAACGGGAGAGGCCACAACAGUGAGAGGCCCACGUACCGCAAAAAAAAAAAAGCAAACCCUGGGUUGUCUUACACCUCGUUGCUUACAUAUCUGUUGAGAGCAAUGACCAGGUAUUAUAUUAUUCACCUUCCAGGGCUACUGUGAGGUAGGUGCACUGCAAUUAUUUGGAGGAUAAAUCAAAGAAUAGUCGACUACUAUUCUUGUGUAGUGUGUGACUACACACACACACUCACACACACACACUCCCUAGGGAUUCUCCUCUCCUCUCCCUAAGGAGGAAAGACGAUCCUUCCUGGAUCUUAAAACUAAAUGCAAUUGCAACUCCCUGUGCCACUGAACUGUGUGUUUAAAACAAUGUAUUUUAAAGACACAGAGGACAGACUUGUGGUUGCCAGGGGCAAGGGGGUGGGUGGGGAAGGGAUGAAGUGGGAGUUCGGAAUUAGCAGAUGCAAAAUAUUGUACAUAGGAUGGAUAAAUAACAAGGUCCUACUGUAUAGCACAGGGAACUAUAUUCGAUAUCCUGUAAUAAACCAUAAUGGAAAAGAAUAUGAAGGAUGUAUAUAUAUAUAUAACUGAAUCACUUUGCUAUACAUUAGAAAUUAAUACCACAUUGUAA